AACGAACGCUGGCGGCAUGCCUAACACAUGCAAGUCGAACGAGACCUUCGGGUCUAGUGGCGCACGGGUGCGUAACGCGUGGGAACCUGCCCUUAGGUUCGGAAUAACUCCCCGAAAGGGGUGCUAAUACCGGAUAAUGUCUUCGGACCAAAGAUUUAUCGCCUUUGGAUGGGCCGGCGUUGGUUUAGCCAGUUGGGAGGGUAAAAGCCUACCAAGGAGACGCUCCAUAGCUGGUCUGAGAGGAUGAUCAGCCACACUGGGUCUGAGACACGGCCCAGACUACUACGGGAGGCAGCAGUGGGGAAUAUUGGACAAUCGGCGAAAGCCUGAUCCAGCAAUGCCGCGUGAGUGAUGAAGGCCGUAGGGUUGUAAAGCUCUUUUACCCGGGAUGAUAAUGACAGUACCGGGAGAAUAAGCUCCGGCUAACUCCGUG
RNAcentral lists this ribosomal RNA (433 nucleotides) under uncultured bacterium. RNAcentral's name for it is "partial 16S ribosomal RNA". It matches the Rfam family "Bacterial small subunit ribosomal RNA", at positions 29 to 507 of the family's 1533-position model. The record is from RNAcentral.